This 332-nucleotide ribosomal RNA is filed under the name Paralamyctes halli. RNAcentral describes it as "eukaryotic LSU rRNA". It matches the Rfam family "Eukaryotic large subunit ribosomal RNA", at positions 666 to 946 of the family's 3401-position model. Lineage: Eukaryota; Metazoa; Arthropoda; Chilopoda; Lithobiomorpha; Henicopidae. The record is from RNAcentral.
CCAAGGAGUCUAACAUGUGCGCGAGUCAAUGGGAAUCUCUCGAGACCCACAGGCACAAUGAAAGUGAAGGUGGCGACUAGUUCCCACCGAGGCGGGAUCCGAUCCGGCAGGGUGGCUYGYGCUGCCCURGCCGGCGGCGCACCGUCGGCCCGUCGCAAACGCAACGUCGUUGCGGCGGAGCAAGAGCGUACACGUUGGGACCCGAAAGAUGGUGAUCUAUGCCYGGGCAGGAYGAAGCCAGAGGAAACUCUGGUGGAGGUCCGUAGCGAUUCUGACGUGCAAAUCGAUCGUCGGACCUGGGUAUAGGGGCGAAAGACUAAUCGAACCGUCUA